AGAGUUUGAUCCUGGCUCAGAACGAACGCUGGCGGCGUGCCUAACACAUGCAAGUCGAACGGGAUUGAGAGCUUGCUCUCAUGAGAGUGGCGCACGGGUGAGUAACGCGUAUGCAACCUACCUAUAACUGAGGGAUAGCCCAUAGAAAUGUGGAUUAAUACCUCAUAGUUCUUUUGAUCCGCAUGGAUUAAAAGAUAAAGCUCCGGCGGUUAUAGAUGGGCAUGCGUGACAUUAGCUAGUUGGUAAGGUAACGGCUUACCAAGGCUACGAUGUCUAGGGGUUCUGAGAGGAUGAUCCCCCACACUGGUACUGAGACACGGACCAGACUCCUACGGGAGGCAGCAGUGGGGGGUAUUGGUCAAUGGGCGCAAGCCUGAACCAGCCAUCCCGCGUGCAGGAAGAAGGCCCUAUGGGUCGUAAACUGCUUUUAUACACCAAGAAAAACACCCA
This 450-nucleotide ribosomal RNA is filed under the name uncultured bacterium. RNAcentral describes it as "bacterial SSU rRNA". It matches the Rfam family "Bacterial small subunit ribosomal RNA", at positions 8 to 458 of the family's 1533-position model. The record is from RNAcentral.